GACGAACGCUGGCGGCGUGCUUAACACAUGCAAGUCGAACGGAAAGGCCCUGCUUUUGUGGGGUGCUCGAGUGGCGAACGGGUGAGUAACACGUGAGUAACCUGCCCUUGACUUUGGGAUAACUUCAGGAAACUGGGGCUAAUACCGGAUAGGAGCUCCUGCUGCAUGGUGGGGGUUGGAAAGUUUCGGCGGUUGGGGAUGGACUCGCGGCUUAUCAGCUUGUUGGUGGGGUAGUGGCUUACCAAGGCUUUGACGGGUAGCCGGCCUGAGAGGGUGACCGGCCACAUUGGGACUUAGAUACGGCCCAGACUCCUACGGGAGGCAGCAGUGGGGAAUAUUGCACAACGGGCGGAAGCCUGAUGCAGCAACGCCGCGUGCGGGAUGACGGCCUUCGGGGUGUAAACCGCUUUCGCCUGUGACGAAGCGUGAGUGACGGUAAUGGGUAAAGAAGCACCGGCUAACUACGUG
This 468-nucleotide ribosomal RNA is filed under the name uncultured bacterium. Its description in RNAcentral is "partial 16S ribosomal RNA". It matches the Rfam family "Bacterial small subunit ribosomal RNA", at positions 28 to 507 of the family's 1533-position model. The record is from RNAcentral.